AUGGACCACUCGGAUACUCCGGUUCCGGGCGUGCCGUCCGCACCACCUGACGCCUACUUGCAACAGGGUGUCAGCC
Molecule: small RNA, 76 nt
Filed under: Xanthomonas campestris pv. campestris
Lineage: Bacteria; Pseudomonadati; Pseudomonadota; Gammaproteobacteria; Lysobacterales; Lysobacteraceae
Also listed under: 2 other names
Description: sX9 sRNA
Rfam family: Xanthomonas sRNA sX9
Source: RNAcentral